This 24-nucleotide non-coding RNA is filed under the name Gallus gallus (chicken). The record is from RNAcentral. RNAcentral also lists the same sequence under 1 other name. Lineage: Eukaryota; Metazoa; Chordata; Aves; Galliformes; Phasianidae.
AUGCAGAAGUGCACAGAAACAGCU